Molecule: ribosomal RNA, 741 nt
Filed under: uncultured bacterium
Lineage: Bacteria
Description: bacterial SSU rRNA
Rfam family: Bacterial small subunit ribosomal RNA
Source: RNAcentral
AGAGUUUGAUCAUGGCUCAGAACGAACGCUGGCGGCAGGCCUAACACAUGCAAGUCGAGCGCCCAGCAAUGGGAGCGGCGGACGGGUGAGUAACGCGUGGGAAUUUUUCCUGGAGUACGGAACAACCGAGGGAAACUUCGGCUAAUACCGUAUGAUGCCGAGAGGCCAAAGAUUUAUCGCUCUGGGGUGAGCCCGCGUCAGAUUAGGUAGUUGGUGGGGUAAUGGCCUACCAAGCCUGCGAUCUGUAGCUGGUCUGAGAGGACGAUCAGCCACACUGGGACUGAGACACGGCCCAGACUCCUACGGGAGGCAGCAGUGGGGAAUCUUGCGCAAUGGGCGAAAGCCUGACGCAGCCAUGCCGCGUGAGUGAAGAAGGUCUUAGGAUUGUAAAGCUCUUUCGCUCGUGACGAUGAUGACGGUAACGAGAGAAGAAGCCCCGGCUAACUUCGUGCCAGCAGCCGCGGUAAUACGAAGGGGGCUAGCGUUGUUCGGAAUUACUGGGCGUAAAGCGCGCGUAGGCGGUUUUGCAAGCCAGAGGUGAAAUGCCUGAGCUCAACUCAGGAAUGGCCUUUGGGACUGCGAGGCUUUGAGGACUGGAGAGGUGAGUGGAAUUCCCAGUGUAGAGGUGAAAUUCGUAGAUAUUGGGAAGAACACCGGUGGCGAAGGCGGCUCACUGGCCAGUUUCUGACGCUGUAGCGCGAAAGCGUGGGGAUCAAACAGGAUUAGAUACCCUAGUAGUCC